GGGUCGAAAAACUGGCCAUCUUGCAGUCUGUCCGGGCCCAAUUAAAAUUAAAAAGUGGGAUAUGGCACGACCACAAGGCCAUUCAAAAAAAGUUUUGCGACCUGAAGCGGCUACACAAAGAAAAGGUUGAUGAGUACAGUCGGCGAUUAUUCCCAGGUCAACCCCUUCCCUCGAUCUGCCACCACAAAAAAACAAACAAAAAAAAAGUUAACGAGAAGCAGGGAGAAAAUGUGGAGGCGCCCAUGGAGGAGGAGAGGGCAAAUGUCGAGGCGGCCAUAGAGGAGGAGGGAGAAAAUGUAGAGGCCACUUCCCCCCCAAGAUGUUGCAGAGACAGAGGCCACUGAGGAGGAGGCCAGACCUUCCCAGCCACCUGAUUCCGCCCCCCCAGUUCCAGAAGAGGAGGAAGAGGUGGUCUCCAUCCCCCACUGGGAGGUUGUGAACAUGGCCAUACGAGAGCUGGAGGCAACCAAACAAGAAUUCAGAAAAAAUAUAGCGGAGCUAAAAAAAAAUCAGCACCGCUUUAAUCGACAGUUGCGGCAAAUGGAGGAAAUAAACCUCCACCAGCUCCGAAAACUGGACAAAAUAGUUUCGGAGCUGAAAA
Long non-coding RNA from Bufo gargarizans (Asiatic toad), 601 nucleotides. RefSeq lists it as uncharacterized. The record is from RefSeq and is a predicted model, not a curated record. Lineage: Eukaryota; Metazoa; Chordata; Amphibia; Anura; Bufonidae. The transcript is spliced from 3 exons.